RNAcentral lists this ribosomal RNA (460 nucleotides) under uncultured bacterium. RNAcentral's name for it is "partial 16S ribosomal RNA". It matches the Rfam family "Bacterial small subunit ribosomal RNA", at positions 338 to 795 of the family's 1533-position model. The record is from RNAcentral.
CCUACGGGAGGCAGCAGUGAGGAAUAUUGGUCAAUGGGCGCGAGCCUGAACCAGCCAAGUAGCGUGAAGGAUGACUGCCCUACGGGUUGUAAACUUCUUUUAUAAAGGAAUAAAGUGAGGCACGCGUGCCUUUUUGUAUGUACUUUAUGUAUAAGGAUCGGCUAACUCCGUGCCAGCAGCCGCGGUAAUACGGAGGAUCCGAGCGUUAUCCGGAUUUAUUGGGUUUAAAGGGAGCGUAGAGGGGUUGUUAAGUCAGUAGUGAAAGUGGGCGGCUCAACCGUAAAAUUGCAAUUGAUACUGGCAGCCUUGAGUACAGUUGAGGUAGGCGGAAUUCGUGGUGUAGCGGUGAAAUGCUUAGAUAUCACGAAGAACUCCGAUUGCGAAGGCAGCUUACUAAACUGCCACUGACAUUGAUGCUCGAAAGUGUGGGUAUCAAACAGGAUUAGAUACCCGUGUAGUC